UGGGGAAUAUUGCACAAUGGGCGCAAGCCUGAUGCAGCCAUGCCGCGUGUAUGAAGAAGGCCUUCGGGUUGUAAAGUACUUUCAGCGAGGAGGAAGGCGUUGUGGUUAAUAACCGCAGCGAUUGACGUUACUCGCAGAAGAAGCACCGGCUAACUCCGUGCCAGCAGCCGCGGUAAUACGGAGGGUGCAAGCGUUAAUCGGAAUUACUGGGUGUAAAGCGCACGCAGGCGGUCUGUCAAGUCGGAUGUGAAAUCCCCGGGCUCAACCUGGGAACUGCAUCCGAAACUGGCAGGCUAGAGGCUUGUAGAGGGGGGUAGAAUUCCAGGUGUAGCGGUGAAAUGCGUAGAGAUCUGGAGGAAUACCGGUGGCGAAGGCGGCCCCCUGGACAAAGACUGACGCUCAGGUGCGAAAGCGUGGGGAGCAAACA
Molecule: ribosomal RNA, 427 nt
Filed under: uncultured bacterium
Lineage: Bacteria
Description: partial 16S ribosomal RNA
Rfam family: Bacterial small subunit ribosomal RNA
Source: RNAcentral